Molecule: ribosomal RNA, 233 nt
Filed under: uncultured bacterium
Lineage: Bacteria
Description: partial 16S ribosomal RNA
Rfam family: Bacterial small subunit ribosomal RNA
Source: RNAcentral
UAAUACGUAGGUGGCGAGCGUUGUCCGGAUUUACUGGGCGUAAAGGGCGUGCAGGCGGUCUGUUAAGUCUAGGGUGAAAGCUCCCGGCUCAACUGGGAGAGGUCCUUGGAUACUGACAGACUUGAGGGAGGCAGAGGAGAAUGGAAUUCCCGGUGUAGUGGUGAUAUGCGUAGAUAUCGGGAGGAACACCAGUGGCGAAGGCGGUUCUCUGGGCCUUACCUGACGCUGAGACG